GAGUUUGAUCUUGGCUCAGAACGAACGCUGGCGGCAUGCCUAACACAUGCAAGUCGAACGAGACCUUCGGGUCUAGUGGCGCACGGGUGCGUAACGCGUGGGAACCUGCCCUUAGGUUCGGAAUAACUCCCCGAAAGGGGUGCUAAUACCGGAUAAUGUCUUCGGACCAAAGAUUUAUCGCCUUUGGAUGGGCCCGCGUUGGAUUAGCUUGUUGGUGGGGUAACGGCCUACCAAGGCGACGAUCCAUAGCUGGUCUGAGAGGAUGAUCAGCCACACUGGGACUGAGACACGGCCCAGACUCCUACGGGAGGCAGCAGUGGGGAAUAUUGGACAAUGGGCGAAAGCCUGAUCCAGCAAUGCCGCGUGAGUGAUGAAGGCCCUAGGGUUGUAAAGCUCUUUUGCCCGGGAAAAUAAUGACUGUACCGGGAGAAUAAGCUCCGGCUAACUCCGUGCCAGCAGCCGCCGUAAC
Molecule: ribosomal RNA, 469 nt
Filed under: uncultured Alphaproteobacteria bacterium
Lineage: Bacteria; Pseudomonadati; Pseudomonadota; Alphaproteobacteria
Description: bacterial SSU rRNA
Rfam family: Bacterial small subunit ribosomal RNA
Source: RNAcentral